RNAcentral lists this long non-coding RNA (8103 nucleotides) under Nicotiana benthamiana. Its description in RNAcentral is "long non-coding RNA (NBEN_LNC031696)". Lineage: Eukaryota; Viridiplantae; Streptophyta; Magnoliopsida; Solanales; Solanaceae. The record is from RNAcentral.
UUGAGAAUUAUGAUGAGUGGACAAUUGAUUUGAGGAAGCUAAACAUGGGUCCAGCUUUUGCUCAGGGGGCUUUUGGGAAACUCUACAAGGGAACAUACAAUGGUGAGGAUGUUGCUAUCAAGCUUCUAGAGAGGCCAGAAAAUGAUCUUGAGAGAGCUCAGUUGAUGGAGCAGGCAUUUCAGCAGGAAGUCAUGAUGUUGGCAAGGUUGAAGCAUCCAAACAUAGUGCGUUUUAUUAGUGGAUGCCGUAAACCUAUGGUCUGGUGUAUUGUGACUGAAUAUGCAAAAGGGGGAUCAGUGCGUCAGUUUCUGGCCAGGAGACAAAAUCGAUCAGUGCCCUUGAAGUUAGCGGUGAAGCAGGCAUUAGACGUGGCAAGGGGGAUGGAAUAUGUUCAUGGCCUGAAUCUAAUACACCGUGACCUGAAAUCUGACAAUCUACUGAUUGCUGCGGACAAGUCGAUCAAGAUUGCGGAUUUUGGGGUUGCUCGUAUUGAAGUGCAGACUGAAGGAAUGACACCAGAGACUGGAACAUACCGCUGGAUGGCUCCGUAAGUGUCUGGACUCUCUAGCAGCCUUAUUAAAUCAUCUUAUCUCAUUCCUGUCUUUGGUCUUCGGCAUUAGCCCUUAGCAAAGCUGUUUCACUCUCUUUGGAAUGCGUAUCUUUUUUUGUGUUAGUUAUAUAGUUUCCAACAUCCUCCUGCUAAGUAUAUUUGAUUCAUGUAUGUUAGAUAUCCGUGCCUGUAUGGUACCACCUUUUACUUACCAAGAAAAAAGAGGAAUGGCUGCAAACAGAAAUAUGUUUGUUCAGCACGAUAUGUUUGCUUGGACAAUAAAUUUGUACUAUAACCUUCUCUCAAUGGUCUGAAAUAUAACAGCACGUUGCAUAUCUUUUUCAAAAUUGAAAGGUAAUGUGCGCUUAAUAGGGAGCAUUUUCCCCUAAGCUAUUUUUGUUUUUGUACCUUUUCUCCUUGAACUAUGGAAAGGCAGCACCAUUAUCCCUUCUGUAUACUCCACCUUAAGUUGAGUGUAUAACAUGCUUAUUCUGUGUGCUGCUCUCCACUGUUUCUGGUCGUUAAUAAUUGAAAGUGUUGUAUGGAACAUUGGAUGUACUGCAAUUUAAUCUGGCCAAUUAUUUCAUAUUUGAAUAUUAAAAAUUAAUUGCUGGUGUAGUGUAAAAUUACUUUUUCACAUGAAAAGGAAAAAAAGGAUAAAAGGGUAAAAAAGGGAAGAGACAUCCGUUGGGUAAACACUCUAACCUUAAAGACUUCUCAGUAGUUCAUUACCUAUUAAAAAAACGAAGUUUGGAAUAUUUCACUAUCAGUUAGUGUUUUGACUACUUUCCAUCAGCAAAUUGCUAAAGAUUAGAAACGAAUUGCUUGUAGUUCAUACUUCAUACAACUAUAACUACAACUACAACAACUAUUCCUCAAUCUCAAACUACUUCUGGCUGUGUUUGAAGAUUGAAUUUGGUAUUUUCUUAGUGAGUAAAAAGAGCUAGAGUGCGAUUUUCUAUGCAACUACAACCUAUGCCUCAACAACACCGUGUUGCAUUCCUUUUUCAAGGUUGAAAGUUAGUGCGUGUUUAAUAGGAAGCAUUUUCCCUUGAGCUAUUUUUUGAAUUUUUUCUCCUUGAAAUAUGGAAUGGUAAUACCAUUAAAUCAUCUAUAUACUCUGCCUACAAUUGAGUGUAUAACAUGCUUAUUCUGUGUGUUGCACUCCACGAUUUCUGGUUGUUAAUAUUGAAGUUCUGUAUUUUACACUAUGCAUAUAAUACAAUGUAAUCUCAACAACAACAACAAGUCAACAACCCAGUAGAAUCCCACCAGUGGGGUCUGAGGAGAGUAGAGUGUACGCAGACCUUACCCCUACUCCGAAGGGGUAAAGAUACAAUAUAAUCUGUCCAGGAUUAAUUAAAAGCUAUUUAAGAGUGUCAUGUACAAAUACUUUUUUACCAAAAAAGGAAAAUAGAAAUAAGAAAGAGAUGUUAGUUGGGUGAAGAUUCUAAUUGUAAAGACUUAGUAGUUCAUUUCUUAUUAAAAAAAAAUGGAAUGUUUCACUGUUGUUUAGUGUUUUGACUACUUUUCAACAUCGAAUUGUUACUUGUUUCUGGAAAUUGGCUUUGGUACUUAAGUAUGCAAUUAGCCCAUUAUGUUCUUUUCCUAAAUUUCUUUUCGGAGCAAAAAGAGCUAGAGUGUGAUUUUCUGAUGUAAUUUUCGAUAGAGCAUAACCAAAGGGGAGCGCUCCCUAAUUAUCAAAGGAGGUGCUUUAACAGUCUCUGUGGUGCAACUCUCCAAGAAGACUAACAAGUUGUACUUUCUUUUGUGAAGUUGCUACCUAUUCAUAAAAAAAUUUCCUUUUCUUGAUUUGAUAUGUCUACACCUCCCUUUCUCUGUUCCAAUUUCUGACACUCUUUCCACUUUCCCAAAAUGUUUGAUAUUAUUCCAUGCAAUUUUCACAACUUUCAAGUAUUUUAGUUCAUUUAGCUAUUAAAAUUUUGAGCUUUGAUUUGAUGGUUUCUCUAUAAACCUAAGUUUUUAACCAUAACUUUGAUAUUUUCUUCUACUUUGAAUAAUUUAAUUUCUAAGUCAAAUUCACGUCUUAAAUUCUUCUUAGAGUUGAAUACCAUCAUAUAAAAUGAGACAGGAGGAAGUUAUAUAUUAUUGUAUUCAAGGACGCUUCAAGUUUAUGGUAAACUUUAAUACAAGGAAGCACCUGGGGAUGUCUUCUGUGUACAAAGAUAAGAGCAUAAGACUACCUCUAAAUCUCAGAUCAUAACUCGUUGCUGGUAAUACUUAUGUGAAACAUUAGCCAUUUUGGUAGUUUUAGCCAUUUUAACUUAAAAAGUUGAGCUUUCUUUCAUGGCGUGUCCUUAUUCUUGACUAGAUAGAGAGAGGCAGACUAUGCUCCAAUAUUUAUUUCCCCAUUUCGAAAGUUGGAAGUAGAAAAAUGGAUAUUUUCAUCGGAUCCAGCUUUUCUGAUUAGUACUCUAUGCAUUAUCAUUCGUGCUGAGAUUUUUCUGUAUUGAAAUGUGAGUUCUGAGAAUAUAUCACGUUGGGUAUGCUGAUGAAUAUCUUUCUACUUUCGUGCUUCUUAUGGAAGGUUGAGUUAACAGGAAACUUGAAGUAGUGCCUUUAAUUCCUUCCUUUGUAGAUCUGUUUGUGAACUUUCUUUUGGACAAGAAUUUUAGAAGGAAGACUGAAUGCUGGUUCUAAAUGCAUAAAUGAGUAAAAGUGGGAGCCAAUCGCUGUCUGACUUUUAGGUGGCCAAAUUGGAAUUCGUGUUGCAAAGUUGGAGGAAAGGCAGUGUGUAUUUUCUAUGAGCAGACGUGGAAACCAAAUGUGUUACGUGUUUUCACUAUUGAUCUGUGGAAAAUUCGAAAUGGUUUUGGUUGCUUGAGGUCUGGUCUAUGUCGGUUUCAUAUUGGUUUCUAAUUUAGCUCAAUGAGGCCAGCAAUUGGUCCUUUAAUGUGACGUGGUUAAAUAAAAUUGCUGUUGGUAAAGCACACGAGUAAUAUGCUUUUCACUAUUUUAGCUUUAGUUUUCCUUUCAUCACAAAUGAAGCAGACUGGUAUAUAGUAUCCUAUCUUAGAUUGUCACUUCUAGGAAAUAGAUUAACUCACUUUAUUUGAAUUGCUUUCAUAGAAAGCCUAGCAACUCUUAUUCAUAAUGCACAGACAUAGUCUUGACAACCUAAAUGAUUUCAAAUAGACAUUACUGCUUGUCUCAAGUUCAGAGAGUAGAAUAGCACAGCAGAAGUUGUCUGUCAUGGCAUGAAUUAAUGAAGUCUUUGGGAGGAAAGCUAAAAAAGUGAGUGAGGGUUGGGUCUUUCCCUUUUAUCUUCAUACCCGGAGCAUUUCCUUUUCAGGUUAGCACAUUUUACUGAUCCCAUACAGCAGCACUUUAUUUAUUGAGGUUUAUUAUGAGCUGACCUUUGCUGGCGAAAGUGCUAUUGUUCCAUAAACAAAAGGACAUUUUCCUCAAUCCUUCCAACUAGAUAGGUAGCUCUUUUUUUCUUCAUUUUCCCUGCAGGAAAAUGUCAUAAGCUUGGCACGUCAACUAUUAAUGGGACUACUAUUCUUGAUAUUAUUUUAGUUCAUAAAGAAGGGUAGAUUCGUUUAGAUUGCUGUGAGAGAAGCGGUGAUUCUGUCGUGGUUUCUGGGAGAGAGGCAGCUUCCGGAGCAUCUUUUCCAGCUAGGUAGUGAGCAAUCACUCAAAAAUGAACACUAUUGAAAGCGGCCGGAAUGAGUACUUUCCCUUCAAAUACUUUUGUUGGGAUCCCGUUUUGACAAUCACUCCAUAGUCUGUGAUUCAGUUAGUUAAGCUUACAGAUACGUUCACUUGGUGGUUUAGUUGCUUAGUUUGCCGGUCAUACCUAGUCUUGUUUAGCAUGGUCAUUACCAUCUACAAAGUCUGUUUAGUAGGGAUAAUUAUAAUGUACACUUAGCUGUUGUCGCAUCAGAUUUUGUUCAAUGUUUCUGCGUACCACAUCAUUUUACCUUUAAUAAUUUUGACCAAUCAAAAAGAUAAACAUAAUGUCGACUGAUUACCUUUCAGGCUCGCUCUUUCCUAAGAUGGUGCUCGAGUUACUCAAGAUAAUUUCCAACACCAUGUUCUAGAUCUAGAGAAGAACCUUACUAGAUUUUUCCAUGCCAAUCAACAACUUAGAAGUAUGCUUGUGUGGGUCAAGGCAUUGGUAUGCUUAAUCGACAUGAAAAUGAGAACAUGGAGUAUAAUUUAUUUCCAGCCGGGGGGUUCUUUUUUAAUCUUUUGUUUGCAUAACUUGUCAGACAAGCUUGUUUUAAAGAAGUUUUAUUCUUAAACAUACAAGGGAUAAUCACUUCUGUUGGAAUAAGUUGAGAGCCACAAAAGUGCUGAUCCCCCUUCUUUUUAAUUCACAUUUCUCAUCAGACAAAUUUGUUUCAAAAACUAUUUCUUAGAAAUACAAUGGAUCAACACUUGGUCGAGAGGCACAAAAGUUUUCCCUCUUUGUAGAAUAGAGCAUCCAUUUUGUGUCUCUCGACGUUUUGCAACAAUUCCAAUAUUUGCAAGUCGAAAGGAAGAGGACUCCAGAUGCUUGAAAGUUCAAUCCAAUUCUUCCAAAAUUUUCUAUUUACCAAAAAAGUAAAAGAAAAACUUCAAAAAUUUUCUAUUUCAGCCAACAACCUCUUACUAGAUGACAUUAAGAAGUAGAGUGCCGGAAGUAGCUCCUUUGGUGCUCACAUGGACGAUAUGGGAAGAUGAACAUGGAGUGUUGGAAGGAGUUGAAAGUUCCCUUGUAUAGUUUAGCAAUAUUCUUAAAGGCGAAAAGCACAAAAAACGACAAGGGUCCCUAGGACAUUAAGUGGAAAACUGCAAAGUGAAGCGCACAAUUUAUUGAAAAUAAAGUACCAAAACAUAAAUGAGUUUAAACUAUAAUACUUAAAUAGCAAUUAACAUCACUAAUUUCAACGUAAGAAAUGAGCUUAAUAAGAAAUCUCUAAGAACUUCGAAUACCGUACCUCAGGUCAUUUGGCAGACUGUCUGGCUUGAAAGAAACAAUAGGAUUUUUGAAGGCACAACGAGAAACAUUCUCAGCCUUAAACAUAGUUGAAUUAACAUCACUAAUUUCAACGUAAGAAACGACAAGGGUCCCUAGGACAUUAAGUGGAAAACUGCAAAGUGAAGCGCACAAUUUAUUGAAAAUAAAGUACCAAAACAUAAAUGAGUUUAAACUAUAAUACUUAAAUAGCAAUUAACAUCACUAAUUUCAACGUAAGAAAGGAGCUUAAUAAGAAAUCUCUAAGAACUUCGAAUACCGUACCUCAGGUCAUUUGGUGGACUGUUUGGCUUGAAAGAAACAACAGGAUUUUUGAAGGCACAACGAGAAACAUUCUCAGCCUUAAACAGAGUUGUAUUUUCUUUGUUAGCUUUUUGGUGCAAUCUGGUUAUUGAACAUGAUAUAGAUGGAAUUUUUACAACUUAUAAUUAUGCCUGAUGCACUAGCUAGGUGCAUAAGUUUAUAACAUCUUUAAUUACUUAUCAAAGAAAAAUAACUUAUUUCAACGUACAAUAAUUGCCGAUGGUAAUCCAACUUCUCAAAUACAUUUGAGGAAUAACCUCUUAUUCUAAGUGUUUUUGUGUUUUUGGUGCACCCAUGGAGUUUCUAUGCAUAUAGAAGAUUGGAUGACAUCUAUAGAUAACCAUAUUUCUGUAGGUUCUCUACUUAACCAUAUUUCUGUAGGUUCACUACUUUUUGGUAUAGUUCACUACUUUUUGGUAUACGACUUGCAUAUGAGAGUUUUCCCAGAUUAAUAAAAUUGUUUACCAGAAAGAAAAAGAAAAUUAAGCUAACUCCUCAAAGUUGAGAUUUUCAAAGAACUGGCUGUUUCUCGUCAAGAUCUAGUCAAGCUAUUGAAGUUAACUAGCCAUCUUUCCAUCUCCCAAUAAAAGCAGUACCUACAGAUUUCCAACAUCCAUGAACUCCCUGAUUUAUGUUUAAGCUUUCAUUUGGUUGGAAAAUGUGAAAAAUGGAUUUUUUUGUUUGCUUGUUUGUGUUUCGAAUAGGACAUUUCUUUUAGAAAUUUACUCUGAAAACCAUGGUGAUUCUAGCUUCCAGAAAUAGUGUUGAAAUGGUUGUGAUUAGAACAGAUGCAUGAGGUCGCUCAGGUGAUAUUUAGGUUUGCUAAUGUGGGUGAGAUUAGCACAUCCCGGUCAUGGUAGAUGUAUCAAAAUUAUUAGUGGAUGACUUGUUGAAGGAAAAUAAGAAAUAUGCUUUUUGACUAAUGUAAUAAUGGUCUUGCCUAAAUUACCAAAAUAAAUAAUUAAUGGUCUUGCUUAAAUCCUCAUAUCAGAUACAGAUUGUCUAUUCAUCUGAAAAAGGAAAUUAGGUUUCUAGUGAGAAAUCUGUGUUGUAGCAAUUCUGCCUAGUAUAGAUAUUUUUUCUUCCAGUGUUGUGAUAUAUCAGGAUUCUUCUCAUUUGGAAAAAAGAAAAACAUCCAAAAUCGUUUAGCAUGUAUGUUUCAUUGUUGGUUACUUGAGUGCAUUUACUCUGAUAUGCAGGGAGAUGAUCCAGCAUCGAGCUUACACCCACAAAGUCGAUGUUUAUAGUUUUGGCAUCGUUCUGUGGGAACUCAUAACAGGGAUGCUUCCCUUCCAGAAAAUGACCGCUGUGCAGGCAGCUUUUGCUGUUGUCAACAAAGGUGUUCGUCCAGCAAUCCCCAAUGAUUGUUUGACUGUCCUAAGUGAGAUCAUGACCCGCUGCUGGGAUGCUAACCCUGAUAAUAGGCCACCAUUCUCUCAAGUGGUCAGAAUGCUCGAGGUCGCAGAGACAGAGAUCAUGACAACUGUCAGAAAGGCCCGUUUUAGGUGCUGCAUAAGCCAACCGAUGACUACUGAUUAAUGUGGGAAGAGGAAUCUAGAAGCAGUAAGAACAGGAGUAAAGAAUUUGGGAAGCCCAAAAAAACAGCUGAUUUAAGUCCUUUAUGUGUAUCUAUAAUUUCUUUGUUCGAUAGGAAAGAAAGUUAUGAGAACUCUUUGUUGUGUCCUUUUAACCCCCUCUUUUCUCUUUUGAUAUCCCCUGCUGAUAAGUAGUAGAAGAGAGGGCUGGUGUGUAUCAUACCGGUCCUUUUAUGGCAUUGUAGACCUUAUCCUUUGUUGUUAUUAAGUUUGAAUGUAUAAGGUCAUGAAGAAGUUAUUCUCUGAUCCAUGCCCACACCCUCAUCUCUGUGUUGGCUCCCAAUAUUUGAUCUUACAUUGCAGGAAAUAUGGUAGCUCCUUUUAUGGCAUUGUAGACCUUAUCUUUUGUUGUUAUUAAGUUUGAAUGUAUAAGUUCCUGAAGAAGUUACUCUCUGAUCCAUGCCCACACUCUCGUCUCUGUGUUGGCUCCCAAUGUUUGAUCUUACAUUGCAGGAAAUAUGGUAGCAAGAGUAACAUAUUUUGCUUGGAGGACUGAAGUCGUUAAAAUCAAUCUAUAUGACCACAAUGUAUUAGUCAAUGUGGUGUUGGUGAAUGAGAGGUUUUUGAGGAUUGAAUUUCUGAUUAUUAGGGAGCAAGAAUGACGAUUUUGCUUGGAGAUGGGACACAUUCAAAUCAAUUUGUAUGAUCAGGAUAUAGUAGUUGGUAUAAGG